Molecule: long non-coding RNA, 224 nt
Organism: Pan troglodytes (chimpanzee)
Lineage: Eukaryota; Metazoa; Chordata; Mammalia; Primates; Hominidae
Exons: 3
Source: RefSeq, a predicted model, not a curated record
CUGACUUCAAGCCAAGGGCUCAUCAUCUUGAAUUGCGCACGAAUUUUUACACAGCGCCAAAGGAAACUGCCUGUACUUACUGUUGUAGGUGCUUUGCUGGAUUCAGGAUGCAGACAAGGUCCACGCACUGUGGUUGGUUCAGUCCCGGAGCAGACACAGCCCUGUUUGCAGAGAGCCAACAUUCUAAUUGACAGUGCGUGGUGGGAAACAGUGAACCGAGGGAA